This 253-nucleotide ribosomal RNA is filed under the name uncultured bacterium. RNAcentral's name for it is "partial 16S ribosomal RNA". It matches the Rfam family "Bacterial small subunit ribosomal RNA", at positions 524 to 776 of the family's 1533-position model. The record is from RNAcentral.
GACGUAGGAGGCGAGCGUUGUCCGGAUUCAUUGGGCGUAAAGAGCACGCAGGCGGUUUGGCAAGUCGGACGUGAAAAUCCGGGGCUCAACCCCGGACCUGCAUCCGAAACUGCCCGACUAGAGGUAGGUAGGGGAGAUCGGAAUUACUGGUGUAGCGGUGAAAUGCGCAGAUAUCAGGAGGAACACCGGUGGCGAAGGCGGAUCUCUGGGCCUUACCUGACGCUCAGGUGCGAAAGCUAGGGGAGCGAACAGG